This 75-nucleotide transfer RNA is filed under the name Phycisphaeraceae bacterium. Its description in RNAcentral is "tRNA-Pro". It matches the Rfam family "tRNA". Rfam says of the family: Transfer RNA (tRNA) molecules are approximately 80 nucleotides in length. Their secondary structure includes four short double-helical elements and three loops (D, anti-codon, and T loops). Lineage: Bacteria; Pseudomonadati; Planctomycetota; Phycisphaerae; Phycisphaerales; Phycisphaeraceae. The record is from RNAcentral.
CGGGGAGUAGCUCAGCUUGGAUAGAGUGCUGCGUUCGGGACGCAGAGGUCGGAGGUUCGAAUCCUCUCUCCCCGA